RNAcentral lists this ribosomal RNA (253 nucleotides) under uncultured bacterium. Its description in RNAcentral is "partial 16S ribosomal RNA". It matches the Rfam family "Bacterial small subunit ribosomal RNA", at positions 524 to 776 of the family's 1533-position model. The record is from RNAcentral.
UACGUAGGUGACAAGCGUUGUCCGGAUUUACUGGGCGUAAAGAGCGCGCAGGCGGUCGAUCAAGUCGAGUGUGAAAGCCCCCGGCUCAACUGGGGAGGGUCAUUCGAAACUGGUCGACUCGAAGGCAGGAGAGGGUAGUGGAAUUCCCGGUGUAGUGGUGAAAUGCGUAGAUAUCGGGAGGAACACCAAUGGCGAAGGCAGCUCGCUGGGACGUUACUGACGCUGAGACGCGAAAGCGUGGGGAGCAAACAGG